RNAcentral lists this ribosomal RNA (565 nucleotides) under uncultured Glomeromycotina. RNAcentral describes it as "SSU rRNA". It matches the Rfam family "Eukaryotic small subunit ribosomal RNA", at positions 548 to 1114 of the family's 1831-position model. The record is from RNAcentral. Lineage: Eukaryota; Fungi; Glomeromycota.
UUGGAGGGCAAGUCUGGUGCCAGCAGCCGCGGUAAUUCCAGCUCCAAUAGCGUAUAUUAAAGUUGUUGCAGUUAAAAAGCUCGUAGUUGAAUUUCGAGAUCAGUACGCUGGUCGUGCCUUCGGUAUGCACUGGUGUCACUGGUUUCUCCCUUCUGAAGAACCGUCAUGUCAUUAAGUUGGUGUGGCGGGGAAUCAGGACUGUUACUUUGAAAAAAUUAGAGUGUUUAAAGCAGGCUCGCGCUUGAAUACAUUAGCAUGGAAUAAUGAAAUAGGACGUUUGACCCUAUUUUGUUGGUUUCUAGGAUCGACGUAAUGAUUAAUAGGGAUAGUUGGGGGCAUUAGUAUUCAAUUGUCAGAGGUGAAAUUCUUGGAUUUAUUGAAGACUAACUACUGCGAAAGCAUUUGCCAAGGAUGUUUUCAUUAAUCAAGAACGAAAGUUAGGGGAUCGAAGACGAUCAGAUACCGUCGUAGUCUUAACCAUAAACUAUGCCGACUAGGGAUCGGAUGAUGUUAAUUUUUUAAUGGCUCAUUCGGCGCCUUACGGGAAACCAAAGUGUUUGGGUUC